This 564-nucleotide unclassified non-coding RNA is filed under the name Dufourea novaeangliae. RNAcentral describes it as "transcription elongation factor 1 homolog, transcript variant X5". The record is from RNAcentral. Lineage: Eukaryota; Metazoa; Arthropoda; Insecta; Hymenoptera; Halictidae.
CAGUGAGUUUUAAAUAAAUAUUUAUCACUCCACAAUUAACAAAAAUUUCAAUAGAAUUGCUGAUACACAUCGUUGGAAAACCCACGCGAAACAUUUAAAUCGUUGUAACGGUUAUUUUGCCAGAAGCUGAAACUGAAACGGUCAAAAGGGUACUGAAAAAUGGGACGGCGAAAGAGCAAACGACAGGCCCCCCAAAAGAGAAAAGCUAUCGAGCCUAUGGAUAUACAGUUCACGUGCCCAUUUUGUAACCACGAGAAAUCGUGCGAAGUUAAAAUGGACAAAGGACGAAACACCGCAAGGAUUUCAUGUCGAGUUUGUUUAGAAGAUUAUCAGACGUCUGUCAAUGUGCUAUCAGAACCGAUCGAUGUAUACAACGACUGGAUCGACGCAUGCGAUGCUAUAAAUUAAACGAUUUAAACUUCAUGAUUUCGGACGAAGGAACCUCAUGUGCCUUUCUAUACGUUUGAAAUGGUCAUCGUCUAAAAAUACCGGGAGGCAAAACGAAAAGAUUGACUAACAUAAAAGCGUAAGAAUCGAGUUUCUAACUUAUAGUCGUGAACGAUG